CCUACGGGAGGCAGCAGUGAGGAAUAUUGGUCAAUGGACGAGAGUCUGAACCAGCCAAGUAGCGUGAAGGAUGACUGCCCUAUGGGUUGUCAACUUCUUUUAUAUGGGAAUAAAACAGGGUAUGCAUACCAUCUUGUAUGUACCAUAUGAAUAAGGAUCGGCUAACUACGUGCCAGCAGCAGCGGUAAUACGGAGGAUCCGAGCGUUAUCCGGAUUUAUUGGGUUUAAAGGGAGCGUAGGUGGAUUGUUAAGUCAGUUGUGAAAGUUUGCGGCUCAACCGUAAAAUUGCAGUUGAAACUGGCAGUCUUGAGUGCGCAAGAGGGAUGCGGAAUGCGUGGUGUAGCGGUGAAAUGCAUAGAUAUCACGCAGAACUCCGAUUGCGAAGGCAGCAUACCGGCGCGCAACUGACGCUCAUGCAUGAAAGCGUGGGUAUCGAACAGGAUUAGAUACCCCUGUAGUC
This 460-nucleotide ribosomal RNA is filed under the name uncultured bacterium. Its description in RNAcentral is "partial 16S ribosomal RNA". It matches the Rfam family "Bacterial small subunit ribosomal RNA", at positions 338 to 795 of the family's 1533-position model. The record is from RNAcentral.